UGACUCUGAAAGCGACAGGGCCACAGGGUU
This 30-nucleotide small RNA is filed under the name Bombyx mori (domestic silkworm). Its description in RNAcentral is "ovarian small RNA-31933". The record is from RNAcentral. Lineage: Eukaryota; Metazoa; Arthropoda; Insecta; Lepidoptera; Bombycidae.